AGUGAACGCUGGCGGUAGGCCUAACACAUGCAAGUCGAACGGCAGCACAGUAAGAGCUUGCUCUUACGGGUGGCGAGUGGCGGACGGGUGAGGAAUACAUCGGAAUCUACUUUUUCGUGGGGGAUAACGUAGGGAAACUUACGCUAAUACCGCAUACGACCUACGGGUGAAAGCAGGGGAUCUUCGGACCUUGCGCGAUUGAAUGAGCCGAUGUCGGAUUAGCUAGUUGGCGGGGUAAAGGCCCACCAAGGCGACGAUCCGUAGCUGGUCUGAGAGGAUGAUCGGCCACACUGGAACUGAGACACGGUCCAGACUCCUACGGGAGGCAGCAGUGGGGAAUAUUGGACAAUGGGCGCAAGCCUGAUCCAGCCAUACCGCGUGGGUGAAGAAGGCCUUCGGGUUGUAAAGCCCUUUUGUUGGGAAAGAAAAGCAGCAGAUUAAAACCCCGCUGUUCUGACGGUACCCAAAGAAUAAGCACCGGCUAACUUCGUG
Molecule: ribosomal RNA, 492 nt
Filed under: uncultured bacterium
Lineage: Bacteria
Description: partial 16S ribosomal RNA
Rfam family: Bacterial small subunit ribosomal RNA
Source: RNAcentral